AAAUUGAAGAGUUUGAUCAUGGCUCAGAUUGAACGCUGGCGGCAGGCCUAACACAUGCAAGUCGAACGGUAACAGGAAGCAGCUUGCUGCUUCGCUGACGAGUGGCGGACGGGUGAGUAAUGUCUGGGAAACUGCCUGAUGGAGGGGGAUAACUACUGGAAACGGUGGCUAAUACCGCAUAACGUCGCAAGACCAAAGAGGGGGACCUUCGGGCCUCUUGCCAUCAGAUGUGCCCAGAUGGGAUUAGCUAGUUGGUGAGGUAACGGCUCACCAAGGCGACGAUCCCUAGCUGGUCUGAGAGGAUGACCAGCCACACUGGAACUGAGACACGGUCCAGACUCCUACGGGAGGCAGCAGUGGGGAAUAUUGCACAAUGGGCGCAAGCCUGAUGCAGCCAUGCCGCGUGUAUGAAGAAGGCCUUCGGGUUGUAAAGUACUUUCAGCGGGGAGGAAGGUGUUGUGGUUAAUAACCGCAGCAAUUGACGUUACCCGCAGAAGAAGCACCGGCUAACUCCGUGCCAGCAGCCGCGGUAAUACGGAGGGUGCAAGCGUUAAUCGGAAUUACUGGGCGGAAGGCGGACGCAGGCGGUCUGUCAAGUCGGAUGUGAAGUCCCCGCGCUCCACCUGGGAACUGCAUAUGAAACUGGCAGGCUUGAGUGUUGUAGAGGCGGGUAGAAUUCCAGGUGUAGUGGUGAAAUGCGUAGAGCUCUGGAGGAAUACCGGUGGAGAAGGCGGCCUCCUGGACAAAGACUGACGCCCAGGUGCGAAAGCGUGGGGAGCAAACAGGAUUAGAUACCCUGGUAGUCCACGCCGUAAACGAUGUCUACUUGGAGGUUGUGCCCUUGAGGCGUGGCUUCCGGAGCUAACGCGUUAAGUAGACCGCCUGGGGAGUACGGCCGCAAGGUUAAAACUCAAAUGAAUUGACGGGGGCCCGCACAAGCGGUGGAGCAUGUGGUUUAAUUCGAUGCAACGCGAAGAACCUUACCUGGUCUUGACAUCCACAGAACUUUCCAGAGAUGGACUGGUGCCUUCGGGAACUGUGAGACAGGUGCUGCAUGGCUGUCGUCAGCUCGUGUUGUGAAAUGUUGGGUUAAGUCCCGCAACGAGCGCAACCCUUAUCCUUUGUUGCCAGCGGUUAGGCCGGGAACUCAAAGGAGACUGCCAGUGAUAAACUGGAGGAAGGUGGGGAUGACGUCAAGUCAUCAUGGCCCUUACGACCAGGGCUACACACGUGCUACAAUGGCGCAUACAAAGAGAAGCGACCUCGCGAGAGCAAGCGGACCUCAUAAAGUGCGUCGUAGUCCGGAUUGGAGUCUGCAACUCGACUCCAUGAAGUCGGAAUCGCUAGUAAUCGUGGAUCAGAAUGCCACGGUGAAUACGUUCCCGGGCCUUGUACACACCGCCCGUCACACCAUGGGAGUGGGUUGCAAAAGAAGUAGGUAGCUUAACCUUCGGGAGGGCGCUUACCACUUUGUGAUUCAUGACUGGGGUGAAGUCGUAACAAGGUAACCGUAGGGGAACCUGCGGUUGGAUCACCUCCUUACCUUAAAGAAGC
RNAcentral lists this ribosomal RNA (1554 nucleotides) under Salmonella enterica subsp. enterica serovar Thompson. RNAcentral describes it as "bacterial SSU rRNA". It matches the Rfam family "Bacterial small subunit ribosomal RNA". The record is from RNAcentral. Lineage: Bacteria; Pseudomonadati; Pseudomonadota; Gammaproteobacteria; Enterobacterales; Enterobacteriaceae.